Gasterosteus aculeatus aculeatus (three-spined stickleback) is the source of this 774-nucleotide long non-coding RNA. RefSeq lists it as uncharacterized. The record is from RefSeq and is a predicted model, not a curated record. Lineage: Eukaryota; Metazoa; Chordata; Actinopteri; Perciformes; Gasterosteidae.
UAAAAUUCUCUCGCUAAAAUGCCAGCGGAAUGCGUAUCGUAUUAUGUGUGUGUCGGGGCCCCCCCUUCAGUGUCCACUAUAUUGGAUCAGUCCAUCUUUACUGCGCAUGUGCAGAACGGAUCCAAGAAACGGCCAAAACUAAAACCUAACGGCGCGAAGUGGACAGUAAAAGGAGAGUAUCACAUGGAUGAAGCGAAGCGACCCCAGCGGUGCUGAAAGAGGAGGAAGAAGGAAGAAAACCAAACGUCAAAGUUGCAGAAAGUGACAAGUUUCUUCACUGCUCCUGCGGCAGCGGCCAGCAGCAGCAACCCACAACCUGCUCAACCGACUUGGACACCCGUUGAGGAGGCUCCAAUGAGACAGGGAUGGGCUGUAAGAGCGCUCCAGCAUCAUCCACUGUACUUCUAAAAUGAUCCACCAAAACAGCUGUCGGAUAGUGCACGCUGCUCAAUAGUGGAGAGAGGACCACUUCAGGUGAAGGACAGGAUCUUCCCGAGGAAUGAAGACGGGCACAGAAUUACCAGCAGCAACUACAUGCAGAUGAAAAAUGGAGAACAGAUAUGCAGAUCAUGGCUUGUUUACAGUGAAAAGAAGGACUGUGUUAUUUGUUUUGGCUGCCGCCUAUUUGGAAACAGAGAAAAAUGAUUUGCAAAAAUGAUCUGUUAUUUGUAUCGGACACCCGUGGUUGCUAAGCAAACACAGCUUAAACAGCUGAGUAAAUACGUCACUAAUAGCAGAAUGAAUCACUACACGUGUUAUAAAAUGUCACUGUUG